RNAcentral lists this long non-coding RNA (4396 nucleotides) under Eucalyptus grandis. Its description in RNAcentral is "long non-coding RNA (EGRA_LNC005271)". The record is from RNAcentral. Lineage: Eukaryota; Viridiplantae; Streptophyta; Magnoliopsida; Myrtales; Myrtaceae.
UCGGCUGCCACGGCACCGAGUACGCCUCCGCAUUUCGAACGCCUCAGCAUUUCGAAUCCGAAUACCCAUGAUGAAACUUCCUCCGUCUCUACAGAGACCUGAUGAUAAAACUGUUUUAUUUUCAAUGUUCUAGACUCUUGUUUUAUUUUCAAUGUUUCAUUGCAGUACUUUUGUGAAUACGUAUUGGAUUCAUGUUCGAAUCCAAGUUCAGCAUAUGUCAUACUGCUCUUAUGAACUGAACUCAGUGGCAGGGCCUUCUAAUUCUCGUGGUAAUAUGUUGCUCAGUAAAGUUGACUUGAUGUUUCAUGACAUUAGCAGUGAGGAAGUUUAAUAUUUAAGAAUAUGACUACAUAAGCAAUUACCAUCGCCCGACUUUUAGCACAAUUAAAAGCCGAUGGAUAUACAUAAUGGUGGCGCAGGGAAGUCCUAAUCUGAGAGCAUAUGCUCAUGAGAAAUGCGGUAUGCACUAGAAAGUACAUUGAAAUUUGGUUACUAAAUGACAUGAUAACUGAUUAUUGUUGGAUGAAAUAUGUUCACCGGACCCUACUCUUUAGAUAUUUGGUAAUUCAUAAUUAAAGCAGCUCAUAUGAGCUGGUAAAUCAUUUAGUAAAAGAAUAUCACAGCAAAUACUUUGUACCCUAACAUUGCUUUAUGUCCAUAUAAAGUGAGCUUGACUCAUUUAGCGUGAAACAAUACUCUCAGUAAAAUACCUAACACCGACUUGUGACACCUAAAGCUACACAUGAUAAAAUUUCUAUUCUCUGGUCUUCGAAACAGAUUUGGAACAGAAAUCCGUUUGGUAAUGUAAUUUGAUUUUUCUAUUUCUAGAACAAAUUUCUAUUCCAUAAAUUGAUUUGAAGGAGAAACCUGAAGUUAAAAUUUUUAACUUCUCAAAAUCCGUUUGGUAAUAUAAUUUGAUUUUUCUAUUUCUAGAACAAAUUUCUAUUCCAUAAAUUGAUUUGAAGGAGAAACCUGAAGUUAAAAUUUUUAACUUCUCAAUUUCUAGUAAGAAAUUAAUUUCCGUUCUAGAAAUUUUGUUGUGCGCACCAUAAAAGAUUAGGUUUGUUGACUUUUAGUCAAUUAAUGGAUUUGAGAACCUCUGCCCCAUAGAGGCAGGCAAAAGCAUUUGGAACAAUUCUGCUUGACACCUUUUUUCAUGUUUGUCGGUACCCGCUGACAACUUAAAACACAUGAAACCAAAAAUAUUGGCCCCGGAGGUUUCCGUGCAUUCUUUUUACCUUGUCGAUGCGCAUGCCACUUGCCGGCUGGAGAAGAUGACUCACUUGCAGUUCAGGUGCCUAAAGUAUUAAACAAAAACCAAACCAAAGAAUCCUUGCUUGUCAAGUUGGUUGACAGAUAAUGCAUUUGAAGGAUCCAUGAAGACCAUAUAGCCCAUAGAAAAUAUUAGGUACCCUAAGAGUGCCACACAAUUUUUGUUCUGAAUUAUUCAGAGCAUGACACAUGUCCAUCUCUCUUCCACAUCAUCCCACUCUCUCAUUUGUAGUCCCUCUUUGUUAAUGCUUUGACGCUCUCUCUCCUCUGCUCUCCUCUGUAGACGGUCUCUCUCCUCUCUCUCCUCUAUGUCUCUCGCUUCCAUCACCCCUCAUCAAGUGAAACGCGAUGCCAACGGCCCUCCACCUUUAAUGGUUGCCUCCGUUGCCCCCGACUUUGACGCCAACGCAGCCUCUGCCUCCUCUCUUGAACCCGACUCUGACACCAACACCCCUUUGCCUCCCUCUUGCUACCUCUAGUCCUCUCUCUCUCUCUCUCUCUCUCUCUCUCUCGUCCUCAAAGUCGCGUCUCUCUUCCAGCAAACCACAAUGCUGACGCCCCUCUGCCAGUUGCCUCCGUCGCCCUCGACUCAGACACCAACGCCUCUACCUCUGCUUCUGCCUCCACUUACGUGCCUAAUGCCAACGAACCCUUGCUCGCGUUUUGACCUUCCUCUCUGCAAACGAAGGUCGCUCUGCUCACUCUUUCUCUCUUUCCUCCACAAAGCACCCCUGCUCUUGAACGCGGACGCCGCCGACGCCGUUGCCUCCCACCAUUGCCUUCCCAAGCCCCACUGAUAGAGAGAUUGUCUGCAAUUUUGUUCUCAGCAAUUUUUUUUUCCCCGCAACGGAAGAGAGAACGGGGAGAGAGAUAGUUUGCAGAGGAGAGAGAGCGUUAGAGCAGUGGGCCAGGGACUAUGGAAGAGAAGAGAGAGUGGGAUGGCGUGGGAGAGAGACGAACAUGUGUCAUGCUUUGAAUGGUUUAGAGUAAAAAUUGGGUGGCACUCUUAGGGUACCUAAUAUUUUCUCAUCAUUCUAUACAACCACCUUGACACGAAUUAUGAGAGGGUAGAGUGGCUUGACAACCUCUGUAACACGAAGACGACAAGAAUGACUUUCAGACAACAACCUUGUUGCAGAGCCGGGCGACAACUCCAUACCUUCUCAACCCUCAGAUAUGUCCUAGCAUUCACUGGAUGGAAUAGUAGACAAUUGUGAUAUCAGCAUAUCAAUCCAACAAUUUCCGGUAAAAUCUUUACUUAGCGCCAAUCCAACUGUAUCUGCAGUAUCAGGACUCAUAACAAAUGAGGGGCCGUAGAAAUUUUACCUAUUCGGGGUACUGUUUCGCCAAAUUUCCCUCUCGACCGCUCCGCCAGAGCUUCGCAUUCUCUCUAAUGAAACAAAUCCCUCACUCCAAUACUCAUUGCGACAAUCUCCCUCCUCGUUCUACUAUCCUCAACAUCCCCAACUCUCUCCCAAACCAUAUCACACUCGUCCUCCAAUUUGCUCAAGUGUCUCCUCAAAUUCACCCGCUUUUGCAGCCAUCUUCUCAUUCUCCCUCUUCACUCUCAUCGCCUCAUCAACAAUCUCCUCUGACCCCCUAACGAACCCCUCUUUCUCUCUCAUCAAUUCCCUCAGCUCCUCGUACGUACCCCCGCCCGCAUUGUGUCCUCCUGCAAUUGCCGUUUUUCCAAUUUCACCGCCUUCAUCGCCACCUCCACCUCCUCGACACGCCCCUCCCCUCUCCUAAUCACAUCCAUACAUCUGAGAACCACCGAAACCUUCUCCAGCAAUCUCUUCGUGCAAUUCCAAUACUCGUGCCAUUUCACGUCCGACCGCUCCUCAAUUUUCUCCAAAUUCAGGCGUAGAAGGGGCUGAACUGGAAAAAGAAAAAACAAGGGGGGGCUUUCUAGUCUUUUCAGCCGAAAGAACCGGUUUCGGGUCGGUCGGUGGAUCCGGACCCGAUGAUUCCAAAAUAAAAAAGAAAACCCUGGAAGCCCUAGAGAAAUUGUCUCCAGUUCACACAGAUCCAGCAGGAGGAGAUGUCGACGAUCGGUCCAGAAGACGUGACAGAAGCGGAAGGAGGAGGAGGAGGAGAGAUGUCGAUGGUGGGUCCGGAAGAAGACAGGGAUCCGAUGAUAGCGGAGGCCGAGCGGUUCGUGGAGAACUACUACAGCACGUUCGACGCGAACAGGGAGGGCUUGGUGAACCUGUACCGGCAACGAUCGGUGCUGAUUUUCGGCGGCCGGAAGAUCCAGGGCAAGGAGGCUAUCCUCGCCAAACUCACCUCCCUUCCGCAGCCGUGCCACCACGAAAUCGCCGAGUUCGAGUGCAGGACCUAUCGCUUGGCACCCGCAUCGGUCGCCGUGUUCGUCGGGGUCCGCGGCGGGACGUGGGUAGGCGGCAAGAAGGAGGAGGCGGACGGCGCCCUUAUACAGCAGGUCUCUCUCUUUCUCUCUAAGUUAUUAUUUCUUGUCUACGCUUUGCAAUUUCUCUAUCGAUCAAUCCAUUAAUCAAUCGCAUCGCGCAUAAAUACCGAGAGUACGUCUCAAGCUCCUUGUCUAACGCUCUGGCUGGCUCUGAUUCUUACCUUCAGAGCUUCGAUCUGGUGCCAGCACGACAAGGAAGCUUUUACAUAGCUGAACAAUCUGGGAUGUUCUUUGAUCUCAAGAAGCCUCGGACCGGGCGUAUGUCAACCUGGGUACCGAAACUUCCCGCCUCGGGAACGCCCAUGUAUGCCUCGUUAUUUCAAAUGCUCAGCUCGGCAUACCCGCCGACGUCGGCUGCCACGGCACCGAGUACGCCUCCGCAUUUCGAACGCCUCAGCAUUUCGAAUCCGAAUACCCAUGAUGAAACUUCCUCCGUCUCUACAGAGACCUGAUGAUAAAACUGUUUUAUUUUCAAUGUUCUAGACUCUUGUUUUAUUUUCAAUGUUUCAGUGCAGUACUUUUGUGAAUAGGUAUUGGAUUCAUGUUCGAAUCCAAGUUCAGCAUAUGUUAGAGUCAGAUUGCAGUUAUGAACUCAGUGGUAGGGCCUUCUAAUUCUCGUGGUAAUGUGUUGCUCAGUAAAGUUGACUUGAUGUUUCAUGACAUUAGCGGUGAGGAAGUUUAAAAUUUAAGAAUAUG